This 955-nucleotide long non-coding RNA is filed under the name Equus caballus (horse). RNAcentral's name for it is "lncRNA (ENSECAG00000050995.1)". The record is from RNAcentral. Lineage: Eukaryota; Metazoa; Chordata; Mammalia; Perissodactyla; Equidae.
GUUAGCCAGAUGUAAGAGCUUAAGGCCUUCUCAAAUGUUUCCUUAGCAUUUGCAAUGCCUUGAGCUUGUGCACAGCCCUAUGUGCAUGUGCAUGAUCUUCCAGAUUUUGUGUAAUAUGUGAGAGCUUUACAAAGCCACAUUUGGACAUCUCAUUCCUUAGACUGUCUUUUAAGCUUUUUGGUUAGCUUAUUGUUUUCCCAACUGUUUUUCACUGCCUCAGACCUUGAGUUCCAUGUUAGGUCAAAUAAAGACAGUCUUGUUAGUGGGGUCUUCCAGGAAAUCACCAACUAGGCCAAAUAAUAACAAAUUCCAUGUUAAUGGAGUUUUGAAUGAGUUCCAAUUCCAUUCUGCUCCCUCCCAUGGUUGCCAGGCGACUGGUUUUCUCCGUGAUUGCAGGCUAUUGGUUUUCAAGGCUACUGUAGUGCUGGAGAGGGGAUAAAUAAAAGACUGAGCCUCAGAGAAAAGAAGGCCACAAGUAUAACCAAGAUUUUCUUUAAAAAUCCUAUUCAUUUGCGAGAUACGUGUAUAUGAGCGCUGAGUACAAGAAAGAGAAGAAGAUGAUGACAGUCAACCGUUGCUAUAAUAUCUACAAGUUUCAGUAAAUGUCAGUUUAGCAUAAUGAAUCAUUAAAUGCAUAUGCAUUUCAAAAUAUAGAUUGGCUUAGAGCUUUCUUGUCUUCCAAUAGCCCAGAGAAUACAUUCAAAACUACUCAAUUAGGAAUUCUAGAUCCUCCAUCAUCUCUCCUCAUGCUCACUCUCUAUUGAUGUAUCUCUUUUGAACUCUAGACCUGUAUUUCUAACUCCUGAUGGGCCAACACCUGGCACUUGUGUUGGAAAGUUGUUGAUUAGAAUCUCUUCCAUGUCAGUGUCCCUUAGAAGUGUCAAAUUCAGUAGGCCACUAUGUGGUUUUGAGUUCAAUAGUUGAUUGCCCUCCUCCCCAUCAAGUUCAGAACCAG